UUGUGUAUGAUUGCUGGUAAAUUUAUUAUAUUUUUCUUUAGUUCAGGUAUUUUAAAGUGUAGGACUGAUAUUUUCAGCUUGUUUAGUCGAAACGAGAGUUAAGGAUAUUGUUCGGAGUUGAUUGUUUGGAUAGCCGAUCAUGGAGUUUAAUUUUAAUCUAAAUGUGUGAGGUAGCCAAAAAAAUGGUUAAGAAUGAUCAACGUUCUAUUUGUUUUAUUUGUUUCAAAAAUGGUAUCUGAGAUUUUCAGAAAUAAA
Molecule: long non-coding RNA, 255 nt
Filed under: Brassica napus (rape)
Lineage: Eukaryota; Viridiplantae; Streptophyta; Magnoliopsida; Brassicales; Brassicaceae
Description: long non-coding RNA (BNAP_LNC016356)
Source: RNAcentral